RNAcentral lists this ribosomal RNA (485 nucleotides) under uncultured bacterium. RNAcentral's name for it is "partial 16S ribosomal RNA". It matches the Rfam family "Bacterial small subunit ribosomal RNA", at positions 899 to 1397 of the family's 1533-position model. The record is from RNAcentral.
ACUCAAAUGAAUUGACGGGGACCCGCACAAGCGGUGGAGCGUGUUGUUUAAUUCGAUGAUAAGCGAAGAACCUUACCAAGGUUUGACAUCCUGCCAAGUUUUCCGAAAGGAAAACGUGCCUUUUUUGGCCGCAGUGACAGGUGUUGCAUGGCCGUCGUCAGCUCGUGUCGUGAGAUGUUUGGUUAAGUCCAUCAACGAGCGCAACCCUUAUAGUUAGUUGAAUUUUUCUAGCUAGACUGCCCCGGUAACGGGGAGGAAGGAGGGGAUGAUGUCAGGUCAGUAUUACCCUUACACCUUGGGCUACAAACACGCUACAAUGGCCGGUACAAAGGGCAGCCAAGCAGCAAUGCGGAGCAAAUCCCAUCAAAGCCGGUCUCAGUUCGGAUUGUAGGCUGAAAUUCGCCUGCAUGAAGCUGGAAUCGCUAGUAACGGUAGGUCAGCACACUACCGUGAAUACGUUCCCGGGUCUUGUACACACCGCCCGU